GCGUUCUUAGCUCAGUUGGUAGAGUGCUAUCCUGACUUGAUAGAGGUCGAUGGUUCAAAUCCAUCAGGACGCA
This 73-nucleotide transfer RNA is filed under the name Blochmannia endosymbiont of Camponotus (Colobopsis) obliquus. RNAcentral describes it as "tRNA-Val (GAC) (tRNA-Val-GAC-1-1)". It matches the Rfam family "tRNA". Rfam says of the family: Transfer RNA (tRNA) molecules are approximately 80 nucleotides in length. Their secondary structure includes four short double-helical elements and three loops (D, anti-codon, and T loops). Further hydrogen bonds mediate the characteristic L-shaped molecular structure. tRNAs have two regions of fundamental functional importance: the anti-codon, which is responsible for specific mRNA codon recognition, and the 3' end, to which the tRNAs corresponding amino acid is attached (by aminoacyl-tRNA synthetases). tRNAs cope with the degeneracy of the genetic code in two manners: having more than one tRNA (with a specific anti-codon) for a particular amino acid; and 'wobble' base-pairing, i.e. permitting non-standard base-pairing at the 3rd anti-codon position. Lineage: Bacteria; Pseudomonadati; Pseudomonadota; Gammaproteobacteria; Enterobacterales; Enterobacteriaceae. The record is from Rfam by way of RNAcentral.